GAAACCAUCCAGGGCAACGUAGUUCGUUUGUCUUCAUUUGGAAUUUCAGAAAAGCUAAUGUCCCAAACUGUCUUCUGAACUUUUCAAACUUUCUGAACUUUUGCUGUCGAGCUUCAUCUUGUGUAAAGAUGUUAGAGCUGUGUUGAGAUUAAUAUCAACAAUCAGAAAGUAAUAUCAUGGUUCUGGUUGUCAUUAUCCUGUUUAGACACGCUAGAACUAGAUUGCCUGUGUUAAAACUUAAUGGACUAGAGAAGAGAAGCAUCCAGAAUCUUAAUGAUGGGGGCUUCCACUAUCCAGGCAUUUGCCAGAUGUCUCAAUUUCUAAACUCAGAACAUCCGAUAAAUCCACAAUUUGCCUCACUUAGUGUUCUCAGUCCUGGCUGCACAUUAGAAUAAUCCCAGAAUUUAAAAAGUAUCUAUAUCUAUAUUGAUAGGCAGGCUCCACCCUUCUAAUUAAAGCAGAAUCUCUCAGGGUAGACUUCUUUUUUAAGUGCCUCCAAGUGAUUUGAAUGUGCAGCAAGGUUGAGAAUCACUAACCCACACGAUAAUUUCAUCUUUCAGAAGGGAGAGGAAGUGAUGAAGAGGAUUAACACCCUGCUUCUAAUUCUGGCCAACUCGGAGGCCCUGCAUGGAAAAUCAGAAGUGACAAGAACCCUGGAAGAGGGCCACCUGGCCAUCAGAAAAUUCCAGAGAGAUGUGGUCACUGCCAGACACACACUUGCACCCACUGCACCGAGAAGCUGAGCGUUGACUAAAGUUAUGAUGGCUACUAGACUCUUAUCAUGAACUAACUGUGCCACACAUUGAAACUGAAAUGUGGGUCCCUUGGAGUAACUUCUUUGUUUCCUGUUUUAAGAAGAUCAGAAGACGGGAGUGAAAACAUUCCAGUAACCAAACAUGGUGGUAUCAAGCCUAAUUAGGAAUAAAAAAACAUUUCUAAAA
This is a non-coding RNA of Leptonychotes weddellii (Weddell seal), 941 nucleotides long. Lineage: Eukaryota; Metazoa; Chordata; Mammalia; Carnivora; Phocidae. The record is from RefSeq and is a predicted model, not a curated record.